GACCGCGUUAGCUCAGUUGGAAGAGCAUUGGGCUAGUAUUCCAAAGGUCGUAGGUUCGAAUCCCACCGUGGCCG
Non-coding RNA from Paramuricea clavata, 74 nucleotides. NCBI's taxonomy places the organism in Eukaryota, Metazoa, Cnidaria, Anthozoa, Malacalcyonacea, Plexauridae. The record is from the annotation of a GenBank genome assembly.